Molecule: ribosomal RNA, 497 nt
Filed under: uncultured bacterium
Lineage: Bacteria
Description: partial 16S ribosomal RNA
Rfam family: Bacterial small subunit ribosomal RNA
Source: RNAcentral
GAUGAACGCUGGCGGCGUGCCUAAUACAUGCAAGUCGAGCGAACAGAUAAGGAGCUUGCUCCUUUGACGUUAGCGGCGGACGGGUGAGUUACACGUGGAUAACCUACCUAUAAGACUGGGAUAACUUCGGGAAACCGGAGCUAAUACCGGAUAACAUAUUGAACCGCAUGGUUCAAUAGUGAAAGGCGGCUUUGCUGUCACUUAUAGAUGGAUCCGCGCCGUAUUAGCUAGUUGGUAAGGUAACGGCUUACCAAGGCAACGAUACGUAGCCGACCUGAGAGGGUGAUCGGCCACACUGGAACUGAGACACGGUCCAGACUCCUACGGGAGGCUGCAGUAGGGAAUCUUCCGCAAUGGGCGAAAGCCUGACGGAGCAACGCCGCGUGAGUGAUGAAGGUCUUCGGAUCGUAAAACUCUGUUAUCAGGGAAGAACAAAUGUGUAAGUAACUGUGCACAUCUUGACGGUACCUGAUCAGAAAGCCACGGCUAACUACGUG